This 782-nucleotide non-coding RNA is filed under the name Hydrelia parvulata. The record is from RNAcentral. Lineage: Eukaryota; Metazoa; Arthropoda; Insecta; Lepidoptera; Geometridae.
AAAUAAAUUUUUUAUGAUUUACAUAAUUUAUUAUAAAUUUAUUUUACAUAUAAAUUUUAGUGUUAAUUAUUAAUUAUUUAAAUAAUAAUUAAUUUUUUAUGUAGUAAUUAAUAUUAAAAAUUUAAGAAAUUAAGAUUUAGUAAUAUUAAAAUUAUUAACAAAUUUUGUGCCAGCAGUUGCGGUUAUACAAAAAUUAAAUUAAAUUUUUUUAGAUAUUAAUUAAUAUAUUUUUAAUAAUAAAUUAAAAAUUAAAUUAUUAAGUGAAAUUUUAAUUUAAUUAAAAUUAUUUAAUUUAUUUAUGAAAUUAAUAAAUUUAAAUAAAAAACUAGGAUUAGAUACCCUAUUAUUUUAAAAUUAAAGUGUAUUCUAAAAUAGUAUAUAAUUAUUUAUUGAAACUUAAAUAAUUUGGCGGUAUUUUAGUUUAUUUAGAGGAAUCUGUUUAUUAAUUGAUAAUCCACGAUUAAAUUUACUUAAUUUAUUAUUUUGUAUAUCGUUGUUAAAAAAAUAUUUUUAAAUAAAAAUAAUAUUUUAAAAUUAGAAAUGUAAAUUAAAUCAGAUCAAGAUGCAGAUUAUAAUUAAGAAUAUAAUGGAUUACAAUAAAUUUAUUUAAAUGAAUAUUAAUUUGUAAUAAUUAAUUGAAGGUGGAUUUAAAUGUAAUUUUAUUUAAUAUGAUAAAAUGAUUAAAAAUUAAAAUAUGUACAUAUUGCCCGUCACUUUCAUAUUUGAUAAAUUGGAAUAAGUCGUAACAAAGUAGAGGUACUGGAAAGUGUUUCUAGAAAGAU